GGUGCUGUGGUGCAGCGGGUUAACACCCUGGCCUGAAGCGCCAGCAUCCCAUAUGGGCGCCGGUUUAAGACCCGCCUGCUCCA
Transfer RNA from Oryctolagus cuniculus (rabbit), 83 nucleotides. It matches the Rfam family "tRNA". From Rfam's summary of the family: Transfer RNA (tRNA) molecules are approximately 80 nucleotides in length. Their secondary structure includes four short double-helical elements and three loops (D, anti-codon, and T loops). NCBI's taxonomy places the organism in Eukaryota, Metazoa, Chordata, Mammalia, Lagomorpha, Leporidae. The record is from Rfam.